UAAAUAAUCGUGCAGGGGGAGGCGGGGGAAGGGGUGAAUUCAGCAAUGUUAAAAGCUAAACAACAGAUCUAUCUCCGGACGCUGCUGCUUCACUCAAUUGCAACUAAUAACCCAUUAAAGACAGCGCAGGGGGAACUGAAUUCUCUCCUGCAAAGCGACAUAAAUCCAGAGAAAACCCAUUAAACCACCGCCACCGCCACCAAGCCACGCAGCACUACACACCACAGCAAACAACAGUGAAGGCGAUGGUUACUGCUGUCAAUCUUGGCAAUCAAUGUGAGCGGCCAUGUCGGAACACCCGCCGUGCGGAUCCGUAUACACGUGCCGGGAAACAAGAAAACGCUUUCACUUGGAGCGUUACCCCACGUUCAGAAACGCCUUUGGAAUGACUGCUGCCCUGGCUUUGGCUUCAUGAAGGCUGAAGGCAGGCAGAUGCUGAGGAGGGAUGCUGACCUGCUGGGGGUGCCUGCACAGGGAAGGGACUGCAGGCGCUCACAUCAGGUCGGGGCACUUACCUGUGCACAGCUGUCAUGGCAUUUUGCGCCGUGUGUCUCACCAAAUGCCUUAAAGUAAAGCAAUGUUCAACAAGCGAGGCAACCUGUCUGUGUGCUAAGUUGUACGUACCGCAUCUUUAACCUGAGCAGCAAACCUGCAACUCCUGGAGAGUUGGCGGAACAGCCUCAGAAGUUUUGGACUCAAAGGGCGAGAAAUUUCACUUUAAAAGUCAUUCACCCACUUCUAAACUGCCCUUUCACCCCAGUUAAUGCCGGACAAUUAAGAGGCAUGUUUCUAAAUUCCCUCUGCGGACACUGUCCGACAAUGAAGGCUUGUUACAGGCUUGCUAAAGAUGUUCAGAGAAACUUUUGCGAAAUAAUCAACAGCAUCUGAGAGAAAGCUAAAGGAAAAGAAGUUAAAGCCUGAUAAUCCGAUUGGGAAAAAGUUUUGUUAGACUAGAUAGAAGUAAAUUACUGCACGUUUCUUCAAAAGCAAACCCAUCAGCUGAUACGAGUUCCCCUGGAACAAGAACCUCUGGCGAACUCCUCCAAAUUUAGGGGACGUUUGCAUUUUGUAACACUCAAAGCUAAAGAUCUGCCUGAAAACAAAAACUCUGAAUUCCUUACAGCGUCAUCUGCCAACAAAAUGUAUUGUCUUGGCAGAGAAAGGAUCAAGGAGAUUUUAAUUUCAUUUUAAACUGUGCAUCAUCUUGAUAGCAAAGGAAAAAGCCGCAGCAACAAUCUCCCCGCUCCACGCCCCCGCCGUUAAAAAAAAAAAAAAAAAAAAAAGGGGGGGGGGAAAGAGAGAACUGGAAAAA
Long non-coding RNA from Passer montanus (Eurasian tree sparrow), 1312 nucleotides. RefSeq lists it as uncharacterized. The transcript is spliced from 3 exons. The record is from RefSeq and is a predicted model, not a curated record. Lineage: Eukaryota; Metazoa; Chordata; Aves; Passeriformes; Passeridae.